UUGGAAGUAUCAGCAUUUAACUGAUCUCAGUUGAUCUUGGAAGCAAAGCAGGACUGAGCUUGGUUAGCACUUGGAUGGGAGACCACCUGGUAAUAACAGGUGGUAUAUUCAGU
Molecule: ribosomal RNA, 113 nt
Filed under: Salvator merianae (Argentine black and white tegu)
Lineage: Eukaryota; Metazoa; Chordata; Lepidosauria; Squamata; Teiidae
Source: RNAcentral